RNAcentral lists this ribosomal RNA (363 nucleotides) under uncultured bacterium. RNAcentral describes it as "bacterial SSU rRNA". It matches the Rfam family "Bacterial small subunit ribosomal RNA", at positions 72 to 422 of the family's 1533-position model. The record is from RNAcentral.
AAGCCCCGCAAGGGGUAAGUAGAGUGGCAAACGGGUGAGUAACACGUGGGUGACCUGCCUUCGAGUGGGGGAUAACGUCCCGAAAGGGACGCUAAUACCGCAUGACAUCCUGCUCUUGGACGAGCGGAGAUCAAAGCUGGGGAUCGCAAGACCUGGCGCUUGAAGAGGGGCCCGCGCCUGAUUAGCUAGUUGGUGAGGUAAUGGCUCACCAAGGCGACGAUCAGUAUCCGGCCUGAGAGGGCGGACGGACACACUGGGACUGAGACACGGCCCAGACUCCUACGGGAGGCAGCAGUGGGGAAUUGUUCGCAAUGGGCGCAAGCCUGACGACGCAACGCCGCGUGGAGGACGAAGAUUUUCGGA